Molecule: long non-coding RNA, 913 nt
Organism: Numida meleagris (helmeted guineafowl)
Lineage: Eukaryota; Metazoa; Chordata; Aves; Galliformes; Numididae
Exons: 3
Source: RefSeq, a predicted model, not a curated record
UGCUUAUCCACAGAUUUAGAUGCUUUAUGUUGACUUACUGGUUUUUGUUAAUGGUAUGCUGAUUAUGAAUGUGUGCACGUGGUAGCUGUUCCUUCCUGAAGAACAUUCCUGUUGAAAGGAUGCUGAUAGUCUCCUACUUGACAGUAUUGUGCACGCUUGGCUCAUCAUGAAUGACCUUUUUGCAACUGUGAAGAGAACAAAGCCUUUAAUCAAAGGGAGGAUGGCAACUAUCACAUCUGUGUGGCCCAGGAAGCAACACUUAACUGGUGAAAAAAAGGUACUACUAGCAUUUCAUGGUCAUAGCAAAAGCUGUUUUGUUCACACGACACGUAUGUGCCAUGUCAUGGUGCUACACUAGUGGUAGGCCAUCAAAGAUGUCAUUGAUUUAGGUUGAUAUAAUUUAAGUAGCAGCUUUUCCUGUGCAAGUAAUUUUAUGCAUGAGCAUUUAAGCCCACUGUGACAGAACUCUUCUAGAUUUCAUUGUGUUCACUUGUGAACUCAGAAACAGCCAGACCAAUUGGCAAGACCAACACUGGUUAAAAGACCUAUUGGUUUCAGGCUGCGUUUGUUUUUCCAUGGAUUCAGAAUUGGCAUUGAAAUCAGAGAGGCUUCAAAGUUUUAGCCUGUACUGAGCUUAGCCUGUAAGCUCCUUUUUACAUAAAUCAUUUGAGUUCUAAAAACUUUUUGAUUACGUAUCAACCUUUUGCUAUAUUUAAUCUUGAAGACUUGUCCAGGCUGAGCAGUUCUUACGAUUUAGCGUGCAACAUGUGUACAACUUGAAUUUCCCUUUUUACUUCUUUCUUGAAUAAUUUCUACUGGAAAAGUGUCAUAGAUUUUCCAGUGUCCUCUGUAACUGAUCAAAUAUUUAGGUAUGGACAAUAUCAAGCCUCUCCUGGAUGGUUAAAAAAAAAAA